Long non-coding RNA from Ictalurus punctatus (channel catfish), 1900 nucleotides. NCBI's taxonomy places the organism in Eukaryota, Metazoa, Chordata, Actinopteri, Siluriformes, Ictaluridae. The record is from Ensembl.
UAUAUAUAUAUAUAUAUAUAUUUGACUUACUACAAUAUAUAUAGUUGUCUAGAGCAUUGGUUCUCGAAGUGGGUCCAGGUGGCUCUGAUUUAUUCAUUUAGUUAGGACGGUGAAAAUCAUAAAUCCACUUUUAUUUUUAUUAUUAUUAUUACUAUAUUGUUCCUAAGUUCCUAUAAUUGUUAUAAUGCUCCAUACCUCUCAUACAUUAAAAACAAUACCUCCACUACUCAUUAAAAUAAUGAGGUUAAUAUUUGAAUUAGUUUGUUUAUGCUCAUACAUCAGUGCUGAGGGGUCUGAGAAUUUAUUUUAUAAUUAACGGAGUCCCUGGCUGCAAAAAGUUUGAGAACCCCUGGUCUAGACUUAACACAACAUGACAGAUACUAAGAACAAUUUAUUAGUAUUAAGUCAGAAAACAUUAAAACAACCUCACUGCAAAAAAAAAACAAAAAAACAAAAAAAACAGUAUCUAUGCAAGUGAAUAAAGGCAAAUUCAUUUAAUCUAAUACAGUAUGUAUAAUUAUGAGAUUAGUAUAUAGCAAAAAAAAGAAAGAAAAAGAUCUCCAAACCCAUUUCUAGAGCUCUUUUACUAAUGAACUACUAAUUUCAAGCUUGAAAUGGUCUUUUUUUUUAAAAAAGUAAAAAAAAUCAGUGGAUACUUUGGCUCUUUUCUUGAAAUAAAGCAAAAUUAUCCACUCAUUGUCCAUUUCAAACCUAAAAUUAGUGUCUGAAACCACCUACAUUGCGGAAUUUGCCUAUAUUCAUGAUAUUUCUACUUGCUUAGGUAUUGUGUGACGUUUUAGCAGUGUUUUAAUCGACCAUCCUGAAGAGUUCUUCCUGCAUGCACCUAAAAGCAUGCGUGUUUUAGCAGUCGCUUUCACAAUCUCACAUUCUGGAUCCGAUCUCUUCUGGUGUAAACACAGUACUGUAAUGAUGUAAUGCAGUAAGCAGCGUCAUACUGUAGCUGACUGAGUAAUGAUCCUGGUUGUGUGUAUACUGUAGAUAUGUUUACAUGGAUACUUACUAGGGCCUAAGGCUUCGGUUAGAAAUGUCUAGAGGGUCCCAAUGCUUUAUACGUUCCCUCACCUUACUCUUCACUACUACUACUACAGAAAAGCACCUCUUCUCUUAUAUCCAACUAUGUUCACUUACGCUGCAAAUGUUGGGGUUUUUUUGGUGUGUGUGCGUGUGUGUGUGUGUGUGUGUGUGUGUAUGUGUGUGUGAGGGAAAAGCCAGUGUUUUAAAGGACUGUUACAACGGCAGCCAGUACAAUGCUUUUGCUGACGUAUUGAAAUAUUAGCCAACACGCCUCCUAUCGCUUUACUGUGCAUGCCUUUCGUUUAGCUGCUCUUAUUUAAUAUCCAUAUCUGUAUUUAUGUGUUUUAUUUCGUGUGCGUUCCAACAACUGUACAUAAAAGACCUGUUGUUUUUUUUUGUUUUGUUUUUUAAUUAAACUUCCACCUGUGAUAGUUUCUGUAAACACCAUUUGCUCUAGAUAAAGCAAAACCUCUGACUUUUCCACCUCAGUCUCUGUCUCCUUCUUAAAAUAUAUUGCAUGUGUCGAGUUUUGAUGCAGUGUAUUUCAAAUACAUUUUAUAUAAAGAACUGUUUCUGUUCAAAAAUCCAAUCAAUUGGAGUCACAUGUGAAACCGUUGUAAAAUCACGCUUCGUCAGUGAAUAAUUGAAUUCUGUGUUAAAUCAAUAAAACGGUUACACUUAAGCCAUUGUUCUGUCCAUGGAAUACCUUCCUUUUUGGGCAUUAUGUUGCUUAGCAACCAAAGCUUACUGUUAACAGACUACAUUGUGUGGCAGAAAAAUUGUUUAUUGCAAUGAUGAUUAAUAAUGAUUUAUUUAUCAAAUUCUGGAUUUGAUCAUAUUGAUUUAUUUAGUAUUGAAUACAAAC